AAGGCACGCGGCCCAGUAAACGAGCCGACCGACGGGUAGUUACCCAUCCGAUCCAAGGAACAGUGAUUGUCCAAUCCUACCAUAGGGUCUUAGGCCCCUAGCAGCGGAGGUAGCACCCAUGCGUGCCACCAGCUCACCGGGGAGAGUUGCGUGCUUCCCCGUUGGACACUUGUAGCCCAUGCACCGUGGCACAUGUGGCAUCCCCUUGUGUAUAAAAGGAGGACCGAUGCCGACGGUCAAGGGGGUUAGAGGGUUCGCGGGUCAGACAGUUGGUAGGUUGGCGAGUUGGUCAAUUGGUUCCAGUAGACAGCCAGCAGAGAGUAGUGAGGAGUACUUAGACAUUGAUAGGAAACCUGGGAACUGGCCCGGGCAAAAACUUGCAAACGUUUGAUCCUCAAUCAAUAUCAGUUCAGACAGGCAGGACGUAGGGUUUUACACCUCCGAGUAGCCCGAACCUGGGUAAAAAACGGGUGUGCAUUUGUUCUUACACUAGUGCGCACUCUUAGCACUUUGUCUCACCGGCCCCGUAGGGCCUCAUCGGCCGUGCCGGCGAUGACCGGGUCUCUGCCCUAGACGCCCCCACCGAACCUAAAAGGGGGACGUGGCUGCACGCCCCCGGUGUCGGAGCACCGAGCGACGACAGAAAAACAGAAAAAAAAAAAAGAAGGAAAGAACGAAAAAAAAGAAGAAAACGGCCAGCCC
RNAcentral lists this long non-coding RNA (702 nucleotides) under Brachypodium distachyon (stiff brome). RNAcentral describes it as "long non-coding RNA (BDIS_LNC003013)". The record is from RNAcentral. Lineage: Eukaryota; Viridiplantae; Streptophyta; Magnoliopsida; Poales; Poaceae.